Molecule: ribosomal RNA, 452 nt
Filed under: uncultured microorganism
Description: bacterial SSU rRNA
Rfam family: Archaeal small subunit ribosomal RNA
Source: RNAcentral
GCGCAGCAGGCGCGAAAACUCCGCAAUGCUCGAAAGAGUGACGGGGGAUUCCAAGUGCCUACGCUUAGCGUAGGCUGUUCAGAUGCCUAAAAAGCAUCUGGAGUAAGGGCUGGGUAAGACGGGUGCCAUCUGCAGUGGUAAUGAAAAACUUGCUACUGCAAGGCAUAAGCCGCCGCGGUAAUACCCGCAGCCCGAGUGGUAGUCGCUUUUAUUGGGCCUAAAGCGUCCGUAGCCGGUCUGGUAAAUGCCUGGGGUAAAUCGUGGGGCCUAACCUCACGAAUUCCGGGUAGACUGCCAGACUUGGGACCGGUUGAGGGAGAGGGUACUCCAGGGGUAGGGGUGAAAUCCUGUAAUCCUUGGAGGACCACCGGCGGCGAAAGCGCUCUCCUAGGACGGUCCGACGGUGAGGGACGAAAGCCAGGGGAGCAAACCGGAUUAGAUACCCCCGUAGU